This is a long non-coding RNA of Haemorhous mexicanus (house finch), 598 nucleotides long. RefSeq lists it as uncharacterized. Lineage: Eukaryota; Metazoa; Chordata; Aves; Passeriformes; Fringillidae. The transcript is spliced from 4 exons. The record is from RefSeq and is a predicted model, not a curated record.
CUGCACCGUGAGGCUGGGCCACUCCAGGGCGUGUGUCAUCACCAGAAAUGAUAAAAUUAUUGAAUCGUGGACUGGUUUGGGUUGGAAAGGACCUUAAAGAUCAGCUCAUUCCAGCUACCCUGUUGGGCAGGGGUGCCCUCCACUAGACCAGGGCUUGAAAUACCAAGAGCCACAGUCCUACACAGAGUGUGCAUUAAUGGACAGGUGUCACGUCAGACAUCUCUGCAGCUUUUUGCUUUGGGAGGCGGAGGCUGGAGCCAGAGGAACUGUGGAUUCACAGCACAGACAUCAUGUAAGGGAAGAAGGAACAGGCAGACACAUCUGCUGAGACCAGCAUAGAAAGCUGAAUUGCACAGAUGAUCCAGAGAAGCUACAAGCAAGUGCUUUUGGAAUUUGAGCAAUACACAUCUGGCCAGGACAGAACUUCAGGAAAGGCAAGAGGGAUCAACAAGCUGAUUCUUUUCCAUCAGUAACCACUGAACUGCAGAAAGCAAGGAAAAAACCCCUGAAAGUUCUACUAAGGAAUUUGAAAAUAUUUCAGUAAUGUUAUGAGAUUGCCAUGCACUGGCUGGUGUGACUGCUGCAAAUAAAACCUAAU